UUGGACUUCUAAUCCAAAGGUCGUGGGUUCGAUCCCCACCAGGGAUGAUAAUCGACCGUUCUUGGGUCUCAUUUUUUUUUAAUAACUUUUAGCUACAAAUUUCACAUUAUAACAAUCUAAAUUUUAUUUUUAUAUUAAUCUAUUAUACUAAUAUUUAAUUAUCGCCAUUGAUCCGCCAUACUAUCCUUUCAAAUUUUAUUACAAUCUUUAAUCUUCUUUUAUUUGCACAUUUAAAAGUGGAUGUAAAAUUAAUUAAUUUGUCUACAGGAAUAUCUCUUCUUUGCGCCUUCCUGAGUACUACGUUACUUUUACUGCACUCACUCUUGUGUUUGUUUUAAUUUUAGUUACUUUCGACUUGGAACGAAAAUAUCCCGAUGCACGGCAAACGUAAAAAUAGUGAAUACGAAGGUGAAUAGACUUGGUUUGAAUAUUGUUGGUAUAUUUAUGAUCAAGUAUUAUUAUACCAAGUCAACGUAAUGAUAUACUACAAUGGAACAAAUAGGCAAAUAGUUAUGAUUCAACAAUUAUGGCAUUUAUUUUUUCAUUUUUUGACCUUUAUUAUUAAUUGAAUUCUAGUCUUUAUUACGGUCAGAAAAUAUACAAAAUUUAUAUUAUUUUUAUCUUGAAGUGAUAUUUUCGAGAAUCGUAGAAAUGACGAAAUUUUGUUAUUAUGUAAUUAUGUAUACAUGAACCUCACAUAAAUAACUAGAUACUUGUUGGGUGUAUUUUAUCUGUACUACAGCUGCCAAACAUUACAGAAGAUUGCGACGCCUUCCUUUCCAAGAAUCUAUAAUUUCUUCCAAGACCGUCUUCCCAGAACGUAUGUACAUUAUAAUAGGUUAUAUGACUCUCACAAUCAGUACGAGAGUUAUGAAAAGAGAAAUGAUCUAUUCUCGAACAUUUUACUAUAGAAAUUCUGUUUGCAAUUUUCAUCUUUUAAUUUAAGAACGUGGUAUUUUAUAACUUUUCUUUAUUUUAGCGAUAUAUAUAUAUCAAACGUAGCUGCUAUAAUCCUUUUCAAUUUUUCAAGAAGAAAGAAGCAGUGUUGUAACAACCGACUCGAUCAAAAGCCACGAAACGAAGGAUCCAGAAGCAGAUGAGACAUUCAACGAGUAAACGAUUCAAAGACCCCAAUAAUUAAAGGGAUACAAACGAUAUCAAUUAAUUGCUUGGCUUCUAAAUACACUGUUAGAUUAAGCGUAUCGUCGAUUCUGCUUCCACAGAGCAGAUUUGCAACGAACGAAUUGAGAGGGACGAAGUUUAGGCGCUCAAUCUUUCCGAACAUUGAACGUCGGAGAAUACAAAUCUGUCUAUUUCGAACGUUGAUCGAUACUUCAUUAAUUAUUAAUGAACGCCUCUUACACUUUCGAUUGGACGAGCACACCGCUGUCUGCUGUAGGCGUAGUUUCCUUUCGAUCAAUAAUUUAUGCCUGGCUACUUAAUCGAGUUCUGAUUUUGGAUGGACAGAGUUACGUGCAUAUUUUACAUUAAUUAUAAAUCGAAGGUUCGUUACGGCGCAUAGCGUAUUAAUAUUGUCACGAACGAAAUAAGACGGAAUCGAAAAUAGAAUGCCUGUUUGGGAAUUCCCAGGAUCACCAGAUACUAUACUGAUAAAAAAAAAAGAAGCUGGAUCGCUGUGUUUGCCAGUAAAUUUACCGCUGAAACACUGAGUCAGCGUAUUACAAUUUUAAUUAUAUAUGCGUAUAGACUGAGUCAUUCGAUUCUACCCCAUUUACAUACUUCGUGUAUACAACUAUUAGCAAAAAGACACGACGCCGAAAGAAAUCCAACAGCUUAAUCAUUUCUGCGAUUCUAAUUUUGUGACAGGAAGUAUAAAAAAAGAGGUUGUAAUGACGAGCAUGAAUGCAAAUGAUAGCGGGUUCGCGUGAGUCAUAUCCGGAAUUAAUUCUUCUGCCAUCUCGAUGUCGACACGUGACAAAUUUACCGCUAAUCAAUCUUGAGCAGCUAUAUUUUUAAACCACGUUAUUCACAAAACGAGCUCGCCUUAUGCAAUUCUAUUAAACAUAUAGCGACUGAACGAAAUUAAUCUUUUAAAUAUGAUUCGUAUUGCUGCAAUUAUAUUACAGAAAGGAAUAACAAAAAGCUUGAAUUUUCUUUCCUUGCACACUCUUAUCGGAUAAUGAUAAAUUGACUACUAUACUUGUUCUGGGAAAAGUUACAGCACCGUUCGAAAACGGCAGGGUGAUACGAAAACUGCACCUAAAAGUCAUCGCUAAAUGCAGGAAGAAACGAUAAUAGGAAUUAUCAAUAGAACAUUGUAUUUUGUGUGAAUCGUUUAAUAAGCAUAAACAUAAGUUAUGUUAUUACAAUGUCACAGUAAUAAUAAUAGUAAUAGUAAUAGUAAUUAGAAGAAUAGCAAGUAUUUCUACGUUAAUGUUAUAAUUGUCGACAUAAUGUUAACGGGCUACAAAUAUAGUAUCGAGAUCUUUUUGCUUU
Molecule: long non-coding RNA, 2457 nt
Organism: Bombus huntii
Lineage: Eukaryota; Metazoa; Arthropoda; Insecta; Hymenoptera; Apidae
Exons: 5
Source: RefSeq, a predicted model, not a curated record